UGAAAUAAAGUUUCACUGUUUGUGGCCU
Molecule: non-coding RNA, 28 nt
Filed under: Mus musculus (house mouse)
Lineage: Eukaryota; Metazoa; Chordata; Mammalia; Rodentia; Muridae
Source: RNAcentral